GUGAAAUUGGUCUUUGGGGUGUUGGUUCAGAAGCAUUCAUUGGGUUACCUACUGCCCCGGGGAAAAAUAAAGCUAAAGCUAAAGCUGUACCCGCAUUUGAGAAUAAAGAUGAUGACGAUUCUGAUGAUGAUGAAGAGGAUGAGGAAGGGGAUGAUGAAGAUGAUGAUGGUGGUGAGGAGGAGGAUGCCUCGGGUGAUGAGGGUGACAACAAAAAGGAAGUAGAGGAUGUGGGUGAUGGUGAAGAUGCUCCUGCUAAUGGUGAAGGAGGGAGUGAAGACGAUGAAGAAGACGAUGAUGAUGAAGGUGGUGAUGAUGAAGAGGAGGAUGAUGAUGGGGAAGACGACGAUGAUGAAGAAGAGGAAGAUGAGGAUGAUGAUGAGGACCCUGAGCCACCAGCCAAAAAGAGGAAGUGAACCGGAGAGAUACUCCAACUAUGUAUGAAGUUUCUAUUUGCGGUUUGUUAGUUUCAGCUGGGUUAGAAGGGCAUAACAAUAGGGUGCAAUGUAGGAAGAGAGAGGUAAGUGCCCUGUUGUGAAUGAAACUUAAUUCUUUCUCAAGUGUUCUAAUUCUAGUCCAUCACCAUUU
RNAcentral lists this unclassified non-coding RNA (585 nucleotides) under Hevea brasiliensis (rubber tree). Lineage: Eukaryota; Viridiplantae; Streptophyta; Magnoliopsida; Malpighiales; Euphorbiaceae. The record is from RNAcentral.